UCAGCUUGGUGCAUCUACAUCUGUGCUAGA
RNAcentral lists this non-coding RNA (30 nucleotides) under Rattus norvegicus (Norway rat). Lineage: Eukaryota; Metazoa; Chordata; Mammalia; Rodentia; Muridae. The record is from RNAcentral.